CAGUCGCCGCGGGAACACGUAGGUGGCAAGCGUUGUCCGGAAUUAUUGGGCGUAAAGCGCGCGCAGGUGGUUUAAUAAGUCUGAUGUGAAAGCCCACGGCUCAACCGUGGAGGGUCAUUGGAAACUGUUAAACUUGAGUGCAGGAGAGAAAAGUGGAAUUCCUAGUGUAGCGGUGAAAUGCGUAGAGAUUAGGAGGAACACCGGUGGCGAAGGCGGCUUUUUGGCCUGUAACUGACACUGAGGCGCGAAAGCGUGGGGAGCAAACAGGAUUAGAUACCCCCGUAGUCCCUGUCUCUUAUAU
This 301-nucleotide ribosomal RNA is filed under the name uncultured bacterium. RNAcentral's name for it is "partial 16S ribosomal RNA". It matches the Rfam family "Bacterial small subunit ribosomal RNA", at positions 509 to 809 of the family's 1533-position model. The record is from RNAcentral.